AAGUCAGCUUCUCCAUGUUAGCCUUUACCAACCCAUCCUACAAACACACACAUAAUCAAUAAUCACAACAGACGUGGAAUAAGCAAAGACUGCGAGUGGAUCCGCUCCUGGCUCGUAUCCUCGGACACCUGCUUAGGCUAUGACCUUGGAUAGGAAAAAAAUUUAACAACAGGACAUCAAGCUAUUAGUGGACCAAGGAUGCAAACUUUAAUAACUGAGGACAUAUACACAUGGCAGUGUGUGGGCUUGUGGACGGUCCUUCCUGUAGGUCAGAAAUCUGUCAAACACAGACAACCUUGAGGAAAAUCAUGCAACAUACAACACAUCGUCUGACAUUGGCUGCCAAUAUGCAGAGGGGAAAUCUGCAAUCCGAUUGGCCCACGCAUCUCAGCAGUGAUGAGUCACACGUGUCCUACUGAACAGCGUGACGGCAAAACAAUGAACUUCUGGAGGCAAGCAUGGUUUGCAUGAAGUGUUUUCUUCCACACUGCUAAACGAAAACUAUGGUAAGAUAAAAUCCCUUUUUGGAAAAAGCAAACAAACAGAUUUCAUGGAGAUCUGGCUCAUGUUGAGAAAAGAAAGACUUUAAUCUGUGAACGACAAGAGUGAGGGGAAAAUCUUCCGAUCUGUGAAUGUUCCACUAAAAUGAAUGUUUGAGAAAAAAAAAGAGCCAAGGAGUCUCUAUUUUUAGCCUUUGCUCUAUUUUGACUUCAAAGAAAAGCUUUGCCCUGCUGCUCAACUCAUCUAUUGCCUUCAAAUGUCCCCGUUUAUGUUGAACCCAUUUAUGUGUGUUAAAUCCUCAUGUUGUUUCAAAUGUGAACGACUUCCUUUUGUCCGUAAAACACAAAAGGAGAAAUAGAAUAUUCAAGCUGCUCUUCUGAAUACAAUGAAAGGGAAAUAGUAAUUAUUCGCUGAAAAUACAGUAGCUCUUGUAAAUAGCAUAUUCAAAUUUUUUCAAUGCAACCGUUUACAACACACAGGCCACAAACAAUGCCAUUGGGCACCACAAAGUCAAUCCUCGCCAUUUUUCAAAUCUAAAAGCACACAAGUCAUCUAAAAGAAUGCAAUUUCAAAGCUUCAACAGAGGGGAAGAUUGUGUGAAAAUAAUGACUAAACAUUUUGAUCCGUUUUCUGAAACAAAGCUAUUCUAUGACUUCAGAAGACUUAUUGUAAAAUUGUAAACUAUUGUAAAAACCACUAUUUUUUGCAUUCUAAAAAUAUCUGCAAGUUUAGAAAAAAAGAAAU
Molecule: non-coding RNA, 1245 nt
Organism: Pimephales promelas (fathead minnow)
Lineage: Eukaryota; Metazoa; Chordata; Actinopteri; Cypriniformes; Leuciscidae
Source: RefSeq, a predicted model, not a curated record